UCGACCUGUCGGCGCCUGCGGGCAGCGGAGGGCGCUUCCGGGGCCUCCCGCCCGGCUCCGCCUCGCGCGGUGGCUCUGGGUGGGCGGGGCCGUGCGCCCGCGGUCGCCUCUCGGGGGAGCGGCGAGACUGUGCGGGUUUCCCCGGGAAGCGCGGUUCUGGGUUCUGCUGUGCGACUCCUAAUGUGUGCUGCACGUUUGCAGGAGAUAGAAGAUGGGGAAGAUGAGAUGUGGGAAGACAAGGACCGUGGAGGUAGAGAUGAGAGCCUAUCAAAAAAACACCUGAUAAACAGAAGAAGGAAAUGGCCAAACAGAAGGCUUCCAUGAAACCAAAAAACAGAAAUUGGAAGGAUUGCCUAUGUUGACUUCAAGUCACAGGCUGAUGCAGAGCAAGCCGUAGAAGAGAAGCAAGGAACAAAGACCGGUGGGCUUGCCAUAGUUCUGGACCAUGCUGGAGAGAAAAGUCAAAGCUAAGAAGAGAGAGGCAGGAAGAACAGAAUGUGUAGAAAAAGUGUGUUGAAGAAAUUUAACCUCAGGCGCCAUUAUGAAACAAACCAUAGUAGGAACCACGAUGGAUAUACAGAAAAGAUGCGUGAUAAAAAAACUUAACGAACUGAAAAAAAGACAGAAAUUUCAACAUGACUUAAUUUUGAACAUGAAUAAAAUAAAUGACGCUGCUAUGAAAUGCAGUUAUAUAUUAAGUGAGAAAAUUGCCCCGGCAUCAAAACCUUUUACAGAUGGCGAGUUUAUAAAGGAAUGUCUGUUGAGUGCAGUGGAAAUUAUGUGCCCUGAACAGAGACAAGCAUUUGCCAGUCUAAGACUAGGUGCUGAUACUAUUUCGCAGCAUGUGGGCCACAUGGCAGAGAACUUACAGGGCAAGCUGCAAGAAAAAGCUAAAUCAUUUGUGGCUUUCUCCAUUGCUGCUCCUGAAAGGGCUGAUGGAGGUAAUCCCUCCCCACCCCAGUUGGCUGUAUUUUUUCGUGGUGUUGAUGAGACUUUGGAUGUGAUGGAAGAACUUUUAGACACAGUUUCCAUGACAGGCACUGCAUCAGGAAAUGAUGUCUGUGUUGAGAAAAAUCUUAAAAAUUUUAAUGUAGACUGGUCACAGUAAAUGUUAGCACAGAUGGCAAUUCUACACUGGUUGGGGUUGAACAGCUUGUUACAAAACUUAAAUCUAGAGUGUCAGGGCUUUGCAAAGACACAGAGCUCAGGUCCGUGCAUGGCCUCAUUCUCUAGGAAUCACUUUGUGCUUAAAAGUUAAAAAUGGAUCAUGUCAUGUACGUAGUGAUUCAUACCAUAACCUGGAUAUUUUCCCAUGGCUCAGACUGCAGCAAGUUCAGUGCUUUGUUCAGUGAGUUAGAUGCACAGUAUGGAAGCCUGUUCUGCCCCAUGGGAUGGAAGUGCCCAUUUUUUGAACUGUUGGAAGAAAUUGAUUAUUUUCAUGUCUUCUAAAGGAAAAUCAGCUCCUCAGCUUACUAGCAAAGAUUGGGUCAAAGACUUACCCUUUUUGGUUGACAUUAUGACUUACCUAAAGACACUGGAUAUUUCUUUGCAAAGGCCUUCACAAGUGGUUACACAGAUGUAGGACUCAAUUCACUCAUUGCUAAUGAAACUGUGUCUUUGUGAAACUCAUUUGGCAAGGAACAGUCUGGCCCACUUCCCUACGCUGAAAUUAGUUUCUGAAAAUGAAAGAGAUGGCCUGAACUAUAUUUCCCGAAUUAAAGAGUUGAAGACUGAAUUCCAAAAACGGUUCUCUGAUUUCAAACUUUAUGAAAAUGAACUGACAUUGUUCAGUUCACCUUUCUCAAUAUUAAUAAUGUGAGCGAAGAGCUAUGGAAGUUCUUGAAUUGCAGUGCAACACUAUACUGAAAAUGAAAUAUGAUGGUGUUGGGAUCCCAGAAUUCUACAAUUAUCUUGGGAAUGGUUACCCUAAAUAUAAAAACCACUAUGCAAAGAUUCUGUCCAUGUGUGGAAGUACCUACAUUUGUGAGCAGCUCUUUUCUGUUAUGAAACAACAUAAAACUAAAUCUUGCUCCUGGUUAAAGACUCGGAGAUGAAUUCUCUGCUGCAUGUUGCUGUGCAAGAUUCACAGCCUGACCUUGAUUGACACCUUGGGGCUUGAGAAGGGAAUAUGAGGUGUUGGAUUUCAAAUCUAAAGAGAAAGGAAUCAUGAAACUUUAAUUAUUUCUACUUCCAAAUUCUAUUUGUCCAAUGUCAAAGUACAAUCUCUGGCAUCAUAUGUUUGUGCUUAUCACAUAUAAAAUAAAGUUUGAUUAUAUCUUGGUA
Long non-coding RNA from Canis lupus familiaris (dog), 2283 nucleotides. RefSeq lists it as uncharacterized. The record is from RefSeq and is a predicted model, not a curated record. The transcript has 5 exons. Lineage: Eukaryota; Metazoa; Chordata; Mammalia; Carnivora; Canidae.